Solanum dulcamara is the source of this 629-nucleotide long non-coding RNA. RefSeq lists it as uncharacterized. The record is from RefSeq and is a predicted model, not a curated record. The transcript has 3 exons. Lineage: Eukaryota; Viridiplantae; Streptophyta; Magnoliopsida; Solanales; Solanaceae.
UGAAUGAUACUUUCGUCUACGUUGCUUGGACUCUUCAAAAAUGACGUCAAAUGUGUGUCGAAUCCUUUAAAAGUAGUGAGUUUUUACUAUUUCCUCUUGUUCACUGAUCGGAUUGUUCGGAAAAACACUCUUUGAGCCUGUUUGGACUUUGAUAGGGAUUUGACAUUAAAGACUUUCCUGGUUAUGGUCCAAUGACUACCAUACACCCCAUGACACCCUCUGAAGUUAUAAAGGGUUAUGCUGCACAGGCACUUGAGCUGUACAAUGAGGAUAAUGGGACUAAAUAGGAGGUCUAUGAGAUUGUCAAGGUUAAUAUAUUUUCAAUCUUUGAAGUGCGUAAUCAUUAGGCCAAGGGAGAAGGGAGGUUCGGACAUAUAGUGUGAAGUCAGUGCAUUGUUUUGCCUCGGGUUCAAGCUUUUGCUUCUCUUGUCAAUGUUGGACAGCGUUACUAGUAAAUUGUGCCCUUGUUUUCAGUUAGUUUUUGUCAUCAUGGUUUAGUUGCUAGUGGAUUAUCUAUGUCUAGUGUAAAAAGGAGAGAGAACAAAUGUGGCUGAAGACUACUGUUAUAACUUAUGGAAGAUUGUUCCUUUUAAGUUUUAAGACAAUAUAACUGUGUUUUUUUAUUAUUA